AUGCUGCAGUUCAAGCCUGAGGAGAUUGCUGGCAUCAUUAAAGACUUUGACGAACCUGGACACCUUGCACCAACUGGUCUUUUCCUUGGAGGCACAAAGUACAUGGUCAUCCAAGGUGAACCUGGGGUUGUCAUCCGAGGAAAGAAGGGCACCGGUGGCAUCACUAUCAAGAAGACGGGCAUGGCCCUGAUUCUCGGUAUCUACGAUGAGCCCAUGACUCCUGGCCAGUGCAAUUUGGUCGUGGAGAGGCUUGGCGACUACCUGGUCGAGCAGGGUUUCUAA
Molecule: ribosomal RNA, 282 nt
Filed under: Triticum aestivum (bread wheat)
Lineage: Eukaryota; Viridiplantae; Streptophyta; Magnoliopsida; Poales; Poaceae
Description: partial small subunit ribosomal RNA
Source: RNAcentral